CAGUCGCCGCGGGAAUACGAAGGGUGCAAGCGUUACUCGAAAUUACUGGGCGUAAAGCGUGCGUAGGUGGUGGUUUAAGUCCGUUGUGAAAGCCCUGGGCUCAACCUGGGAAUUGCAGUGGAUACUGGAUCACUAGAGUGUGGUAGAGGAUAGUGGAAUUUCCGGUGUAGCAGUGAAAUGCGUAGAGAUCGGAAGGAACAUCUGUGGCGAAGGCGACUAUCUGGGCCAACACUGACACUGAGGCACGAAAGCGUGGGGAGCAAACAGGAUUAGAACCCCCGUAGUCCCUGUCUCUUAUCAC
Molecule: ribosomal RNA, 301 nt
Filed under: uncultured bacterium
Lineage: Bacteria
Description: partial 16S ribosomal RNA
Rfam family: Bacterial small subunit ribosomal RNA
Source: RNAcentral